Molecule: ribosomal RNA, 427 nt
Filed under: uncultured bacterium
Lineage: Bacteria
Description: bacterial SSU rRNA
Rfam family: Bacterial small subunit ribosomal RNA
Source: RNAcentral
AGUAGCGAACGGGUGAGUAACGCUGGGGUAACCUGCCUUAUAGCGGGGGAUAACUAUUGGAAACGAUAAGCUAAUACCGCAUAACAAUAGAGAUUGCAUAAUCUUUAUUUGAAAGUGCCAACUGGUACACUAUGAGAUGGACCCGCGUUGUAUUAGCUAGUUGGUAGUGUAAUGGACUACCAAGGCGAUGAAACAUAGCCGACCUGAGAGGGUGAUCGGCCACAUUGGGACUGAGACACGGCCCAAACUCCUACGGGAGGCAGCAGUAGGGAAUCUUCGGCAAUGGACGAAAGUCUGACCGAGCAACGCCGCGUGAGUGAAGAAGGUUUUCGGAUCGUAAAACUCUGUUGUUAGAGAAGAAUGUUGAUUAGAGUGGAAAAUUAAUCAAGUGACGGUAUCUAACCAGAAAGGGACGGCUAACUACGUG